This 498-nucleotide ribosomal RNA is filed under the name uncultured Campylobacterota bacterium. Its description in RNAcentral is "bacterial SSU rRNA". It matches the Rfam family "Bacterial small subunit ribosomal RNA", at positions 8 to 525 of the family's 1533-position model. Lineage: Bacteria; Pseudomonadati; Campylobacterota. The record is from RNAcentral.
AGAGUUUGAUCCUGGCUCAUAAUGAACGCUGGCGGCGUGCUUAACACAUGCAAGUCGAACGGUAACAGAGGAGCUUGCUCCUGCUGACGAGUGGCGCACGGGUGAGUAAUGCAUAGGUAACGUGCCCCUUAGUCUGGGAUAGCCACUGGAAACGGUGAUUAAUACUAGAUACGCCUUCUCUUUUAAUAAGAGUUGGGAAAGUUUUUCGCUAAGGGAUCGGCCUAUGUUGUAUCAGGUAGUUGGUGAGGUAAUGGCUCACCAAGCCUAUGACACAUAGCGGGUCUGAGAGGAUGAUCCGCCACACUGGUACUGAGACACGGACCAGACUCCUACGGGAGGCAGCAGUGGGGAAUAUUGCACAAUGGACGAAAGUCUGAUGCAGCAACGCCGCGUGGAGGAUGACACAUUUCGGUGCGUAAACUCCUUUUAUAUGAGAAGAUAAUGACGGUAUCAUAUGAAUAAGCACCGGCUAACUCCGUGCCAGCAGCCGCGGUAAUU